RNAcentral lists this ribosomal RNA (403 nucleotides) under Klebsiella pneumoniae. Its description in RNAcentral is "bacterial SSU rRNA". It matches the Rfam family "Bacterial small subunit ribosomal RNA", at positions 122 to 520 of the family's 1533-position model. Lineage: Bacteria; Pseudomonadati; Pseudomonadota; Gammaproteobacteria; Enterobacterales; Enterobacteriaceae. The record is from RNAcentral.
GAAACUGCCUGAUGGAGGGGGAUAACUACUGGAAACGGUAGCUAAUACCGCAUAACGUCGCAAGACCAAAGUGGGGGACCUUCGGGCCUCAUGCCAUCAGAUGUGCCCAGAUGGGAUUAGCUAGUAGGUGGGGUAACGGCUCACCUAGGCGACGAUCCCUAGCUGGUCUGAGAGGAUGACCAGCCACACUGGAACUGAGACACGGUCCAGACUCCUACGGGAGGCAGCAGUGGGGAAUAUUGCACAAUGGGCGCAAGCCUGAUGCAGCCAUGCCGCGUGUGUGAAGAAGGCCUUCGGGUUGUAAAGCACUUUCAGCGGGGAGGAAGGCGUUAAGGUUAAUAACCUUGUCGAUUGACGUUACCCGCAGAAGAAGCACCGGCUAACUCCGUGCCAGCAGCCGCGG